GGGGGCGUACUGGUUUCGACUUUGCAGAUACGCCAGAGGCGGCAUGCCGAGGAUGGUUCGUUGGCCUCGUUAAUCAUCGGACCAAAACAUAACUGCUAAUGCUGAAUUAGCUCUCGCGGCCUAAUAAUCCGCGACGUUCGCCGCUGGACACCUGCUACGGUGGACGAACGCCACAGCAGGUUAGGUCAGGCGCGGAGUCCGCGCGCGCUUGGCUGAAGCUUUAUCCUGCGGGCUAGGCUGCGCGGGUCGGUGUCAGGCCGUUAUCGCGCGGCAGAAAACUCUCUCCUGACUAAGCAUGUAGUCGCGCCUGGUAGAUCGGCUAAGGACGCGGGUUCAACUCCCGCCGCCUCCAUUU
This 355-nucleotide transfer-messenger RNA is filed under the name Verrucomicrobiota bacterium. RNAcentral's name for it is "Verrucomicrobia bacterium transfer-messenger RNA". It matches the Rfam family "transfer-messenger RNA". From Rfam's summary of the family: Bacterial tmRNA, also known as 10Sa RNA or SsrA, is named for its dual tRNA and mRNA-like properties. Its role is to liberate the mRNA from a stalled ribosome. To accomplish this part of the tmRNA is used as a reading frame that ends in a translation stop signal. The record is from RNAcentral. Lineage: Bacteria; Pseudomonadati; Verrucomicrobiota.